This 76-nucleotide transfer RNA is filed under the name Candidatus Sungiibacteriota bacterium. Its description in RNAcentral is "tRNA-Val". It matches the Rfam family "tRNA". From Rfam's summary of the family: Transfer RNA (tRNA) molecules are approximately 80 nucleotides in length. Their secondary structure includes four short double-helical elements and three loops (D, anti-codon, and T loops). Lineage: Bacteria; Candidatus Sungiibacteriota. The record is from RNAcentral.
GGGCGGUUAGCUCAGGCGGCAGAGUGCCUGCCUUACGAGCAGGAGGCCGCAGGUUCGAACCCUGCACCGCCCACCA